GACGAACGCUGGCGGCGUGCUUAACACAUGCAAGUCGAACGGAAAGGCCCUGCUUUUGUGGGGUGCUCGAGUGGCGAACGGGUGAGUAACACGUGAGUAACCUGCUCUAGACUUUGGGAUAACUUCAGGAAACUGGGGCUAAUACCGGAUAGGAGCUCCUGCUGCAUGGUGGGGGUUGGAAAUUUUCGGCGGUUGGGGAUGGACUCGCGGCUUAUCAGCUUGUUGGUGGGGUAGUGGCUUACCAAGGCUGUGACGGGUAGCCGGCCUGAGAGGGUGAACGGCCACAUUGGGACUGAGAUACGGCCCAGAGGCGUACGGGAGGCAGUAGGGGGGAAUAUUGCACAAUGGGCGGAAGCCGGAUGCAGCAACGCCGCGGGCGGGAUGACGGCCUUCGGGUUGUAAACCGCUUUCGCCUGUGACGAAGCGUGAGUGACGGUAAUGGGUAAAGAAGCACCGGCUAACUACGUG
This 468-nucleotide ribosomal RNA is filed under the name uncultured bacterium. RNAcentral's name for it is "partial 16S ribosomal RNA". It matches the Rfam family "Bacterial small subunit ribosomal RNA", at positions 28 to 507 of the family's 1533-position model. The record is from RNAcentral.